CAUACCCGGACAGCCAAGGGCUGUUCGGGCAUGCUGAGAGUUGUAGUUUUGCAACAGCUGGAGGCUCCCUGCUUGGGAAACACUGACAUAUACAAUGAUUUACAGCUCCCAGCAGAUCUUUCUUACUUUUAUAUGAUUGUGACAGAUUCCACUGUUGAGCCAGAAUAUGAAAGAAAAGAUAGGACAGAAGACAGUGUUGGGUUGCCGUGUCUUACCAUGGGUGCGGUGAAGUCAAUGCAGUGUGUCACCACUCUGAGUAGAAGGAGACUUGGAAGGUGUUAAAAGGUUGAAAUUUGGCACCAAUUCUGGAGAUGACCUAGUGAGGGACCUACUGUGAAUGUGACCACUAAACACUUGUGCCUCAUCUGAGAACAUCAACCAUCAAGAUUCGGAUAACACUGUAUGUUAAAAAGUAUUAAAUACUUUUUAUGAUGCCCGGGGUAGGGAACCGUGCAAACCUGGACCUCACUUUAAUCCCUGUCCCUAAAUACUUAUAAAAUCCACCAAAGACGGCAGCCUCCAACUGGGUGAUGGCCCCUACAUUGGACUACGUGUUGUCACAUUGGGCAGGGAUUGAGUGAAGCCCUUAUCUUACCCACACCCUCUGCCCCUGCCUACUUGUGUACCCAUACUAAACAACGGGUCCACAGCCACAAGGAUGUUUCCUACCUAUAUACAUGCAGGGACGGACAGAGUCAAAACAAUAAAGUGCAAUACAGACAGAGUCGGGAACAGCUGGAGGCAAACAAAACCAACAAAAGUCAAUCUAAAGAAACACAGUCAAGUCAGAGUCAAACUAGCCAAGUCAGCAACAGUAGAUUAGCGAGGUACCAAUUCACUAGAACAGAAGAAAGGUCAAAAGACAAGCCAAGAUCAAUACACAGAAUACAGGGAACAACAAUGCUGGUUACUCAAACACGUUGGUUCACUGGCAACCGCAAACAGAGUGAGCUGGACUUAAGUAGCUAAGCUCACAGGUGCAGGCUCAGCCUGGUUAGCUGCUUACAGCCCAGAUUGGCUAAGGUGUAGCCAAGCAACCAGGCCAAGCCUACGCUCAGGGAAGAUUAACCCUUCGAGUUCUUAAAUGUGCCGGGGCAUCAGAGCAAUCCAAAGAGUUAGACGAGUAGGCAACACAUGGGCAACCUGAUACAAAAUCAACAAGCACACAACAGACAAUAACACAAUAACAUACUGGCGACAGAUUAAGGACAAGCAAUAGGUCAACCCUAGAUAGCGGUGUAGUACAAAGUCAGCAGGCAAAGAGUAGUCAGGUGAGGUCACAUGUAAAAGUAAGAAUGUACAGGUCUGGUCACAGAAUAACAGGAAACAAGAAACACCCAUGAAAAGGUAAGAACCUCUAUCGUGGGUGGAGUAGUAGUGCAGCUACUGAAUUUAAAUAAUCCUCCUCUGAGAGGUGUGAGCACCAGUGCCGCAGCUUAUUGGCCCAGUGCUCCCAUCUUCUAAUUGUCUGGCAAGUCAGGUCACACAUUGACAAAUAGUUUUGCAAUCAACAAAGUUGUCAGGAUGUUGGUAGAUGCUGCUGGGAGUCAGGCAAGGUCUGUAUAUGUAUGCAUGUAUGUUACAGAUGCAUUGACUAUGACAUUUUAUAAUAUAAUGCACAAUAUGUUCACUAUAUAUAGCUUAUACAUGUACUCUCAUUUAUGCAUUGUGUGUUAUCACUUAAAAUAUGUAAUAAAACUGUA
Molecule: long non-coding RNA, 1703 nt
Organism: Hyla sarda
Lineage: Eukaryota; Metazoa; Chordata; Amphibia; Anura; Hylidae
Exons: 3
Source: RefSeq, a predicted model, not a curated record